RNAcentral lists this ribosomal RNA (856 nucleotides) under uncultured bacterium. RNAcentral's name for it is "bacterial SSU rRNA". It matches the Rfam family "Bacterial small subunit ribosomal RNA", at positions 55 to 877 of the family's 1533-position model. The record is from RNAcentral.
AUGCAAGUCGAACGGGAAGAGAUGAAGAGCUUGCUCUUUAUCGAAUCCAGUGGCAAACGGGUGAGUAACACGUAAACAACCUGCCUUCAGGAUGGGGACAACAGACGGAAACGACUGCUAAUACCGAAUACGUUCCACGGGCCGCAUGACCUGUGGAAGAAAGGGUAGCCUCUACCUGUAAGCUAUCGCCUGAAGAGGGGUUUGCGUCUGAUUAGGCAGUUGGUGAGGUAACGGCUCACCAAACCAACGAUCAGUAGCCGGUCUGAGAGGAUGAACGGCCACACUGGAACUGAGACACGGUCCAGACUCCUACGGGAGGCAGCAGUGGGGAAUCUUCCGCAAUGGACGAAAGUUUGACGGAGCAACGCCGCGUGAGUGAAGACGGCCUUCGGGUUGUAAAGCUCUGUGAUCCGGGACGAAAGAGCCUGAGGUAAAUAGCCUGAGGAAGUGACGGUACCGGAAAAGCAAGCCACGGCUAACUACGUGCCAGCAGCCGCGGUAAUACGUAGGUGGCAAGCGUUGUCCGGAAUUAUUGGGCGUAAAGCGCGCGCAGGCGGCUUACUAAGUCCAUCUUAAAAGUGCGGGGCUUAACCCCGUGAUGGGAUGGAAACUGGAAAGCUGGAGUAUCGGAGAGGAAAGUGGAAUUCCUAGUGUAGCGGUGAAAUGCGUAGAGAUUAGGAAGAACACCGGUGGCGAAGGCGACUUUCUGGACGAAAACUGACGCUGAGGCGCGAAAGCGUGGGGAGCAAACAGGAUUAGAUACCCUGGUAGUCCACGCCGUAAACGAUGGAUACUAGGUGUAGGAGGUAUCGACCCCUUCUGUGCCGGAGUUAACGCAAUAAGUAUCCCGCCUGGG